Molecule: ribosomal RNA, 599 nt
Rfam family: Bacterial small subunit ribosomal RNA
AGAGUUGAUCCUGGCUCAGGACGAACGCUGGCGGCGUGCGUAACACAUGCAAGUCGAACGAGAGAGAGAGAGAAGCUUGCUUUUCUUACGAUCGAGUGGCAAACGGGUGAGUAACGCGUAAACAACCUGCCCCGCAGAUGGGGACAACAGCUGGAAACGGCUGCUAAUACCGAAUACGCUCCUCUUAGCGCAUGGUAAGAGGAAGAAAGGGUGGCCUCUGGAACAAGCUACCGCUGCGGGAGGGGUUUGCGUCUGAUUAGCUGGUUGGAGGGGUAACGGCCCACCAAGGCGACGAUCAGUAGCCGGUCUGAGAGGAUGAACGGCCACAUUGGAACUGAGACACGGUCCAGACUCCUACGGGAGGCAGCAGUGGGGAAUCUUCCGCAAUGGGCGAAAGCCUGACGGAGCAACGCCGCGUGAGUGAAGACGGCCUUCGGGUUGUAAAGCUCUGUUAUAGGGGACGAACGGCCGGGUAGCGAAGAGGUAGCCGGCAUGACGGUACCGUAAGAGAAAGCCACGGCUAACUACGUGCCAGCAGCCGCGGUAAUACGUAGGUGGCAAGCGUUGUCCGGAAUGAUUGGGCGUAAAGGGCGCGCAGG